UACGUAGGCAGCAAGCGUUGUUCGGAGUUACUGGGCGUAAAGGGUGCGUAGGCGGCUUUUUAAGUUUGGUGUGAAAUCUCCCGGCUCAACUGGGAGGGUGCGCCCGAAUACUGAGAGGCUAGAGUGUGGGGAGAGGAAAGUGGAAUUCCUGGUGUAGCGGUGAAAUGCGUAGAUAUCAGGAGGAACACCGGUGGUGUAAACGGCUUUCUGGACCAUAACUGACGCUGAGGCACGAAAGCGUGGGUAGCAAACAGG
Molecule: ribosomal RNA, 255 nt
Filed under: uncultured bacterium
Lineage: Bacteria
Description: partial 16S ribosomal RNA
Rfam family: Bacterial small subunit ribosomal RNA
Source: RNAcentral